UCUGCUAGUCGAGCGGACAGAAGGGAGCUUGCUCCCGGAUGUUAGCGGCGGACGGGUGAGUAACACGUGGGUAACCUGCCUGUAAGACUGGGAUAACUCCGGGAAACCGGAGCUAAUACCGGAUAGUUCCUUGAACCGCAUGGUUCAAGGAUGAAUGACGGUUUCGGCUGUCACUUACAGAUGGACCCGCGGCGCAUUAGCUAGUUGGUGAGGUAACGGCUCACCAAGGCGACGAUGCGUAGCCGACCUGAGAGGGUGAUCGGCCACACUGGGACUGAGACACGGCCCAGACUCCUACGGGAGGCAGCAGUAGGGAAUCUUCCGCAAUGGACGAAAGUCUGACGGAGCAACGCCGCGUGAGUGUUGAAGGUUUUCGGAUCGUAAAGCUCUGUUGUUAGGGAAGAACAAGUGCAAGAGUAACUGCUUGCACCUUGACGGUACCUAACCAGAAAGCCACGGCUAACUACGUGCCAGCAGCCGCGGUAAUACGUAGGUGGCAAGCGUUGUCCGGAAUUAUUGGGCGUAAAGGGCUCGCAGGCGGUUUCUUAAGUCUGAUGUGAAAGCCCCCGGCUCAACCGGGGAGGGUCAUUGGAAACUGGGAAACUUGAGUGCAGAAGAGGAGAGUGGAAUUCCACGUGUAGCGGUGAAAUGCGUAGGGAUGUGGAGGAACACCAGUGGCGAAGGCGACUCUCUGGUCUGUAACUGACGCUGAGGAGCGAAAGCGUGGGGAGCGAACAGGAUUAGAUACCCUGGUAGUCCACGCCGUAAACGAUGAGUGCUAAUGUUAGGGGGUUUCCGCCCCCUUAGUGCUGCAGCUAACGCAUUAAGCACUCCGCCUGGGGAGUACGGUC
RNAcentral lists this ribosomal RNA (851 nucleotides) under uncultured bacterium. RNAcentral's name for it is "bacterial SSU rRNA". It matches the Rfam family "Bacterial small subunit ribosomal RNA", at positions 54 to 887 of the family's 1533-position model. The record is from RNAcentral.